GAUAAGUAGUUUGCGAAUCAUGUGACAUUCGUAAUAUUGCUCUGUGAGUUUUCAUGUUCAUCAUGAAUCAGUUGCUGUUGCUGCUAGAAAAUACAGUUGCAUUAGGAAGUCCUCGAGUUACGACGUACUCGACCUACGACUUUUCGACCCCCGUGCCUCGUCCGCCAUUUUGUCCCCAGCACCGUAGUGUUUCUGCUUAGCUAGUGCAGAUGAUCCAAGAAGACGAAUCCACAGAAUCCCCAGAAGAAAGGCAUUUCACAACCAAGGGCAUAGCUGAGGCAUUUUCACUUCUAGAACAAGCCAUGGUGCGAAUUGAGGCAGAGGAUCCCAAUAUGGAACGAUUUUUGAAUGUUUCAAGGGGAGUGUACGGUGCUACCGUGAGAUCUGGGAGGAAAAUAGGAAGAUUUCCUACCAGACGGACAUCUGCCAGUACUUCACCAAGGUGGAGAGGCCAGUAGAACCUGCACAUACUUCCUCAGCAAUAGCUCUCACAGCCUCCCCUCCUUCUUCUCCAUGCACCUCUCAGCAGUAAUGACUGACUAUGUCUUCAAGCUCAUCUGCAAGAUCCCUCCUGCCACUCUCAAUCAUGGCUGCCAUCAAUCGAGCCACCGCCCCAGGCCCGGCGCUCUUCUGUCCUCUGGCCCAGUGGAAGAGCAUGUCCAGUA
Molecule: long non-coding RNA, 665 nt
Organism: Phyllopteryx taeniolatus (common seadragon)
Lineage: Eukaryota; Metazoa; Chordata; Actinopteri; Syngnathiformes; Syngnathidae
Exons: 3
Source: RefSeq, a predicted model, not a curated record